This 140-nucleotide small nucleolar RNA is filed under the name Castor canadensis (American beaver). Its description in RNAcentral is "Small nucleolar RNA SNORA42/SNORA80 family (ENSCCNG00000027605.1)". It matches the Rfam family "Small nucleolar RNA SNORA42/SNORA80 family". From Rfam's summary of the family: The members of this family belong to the H/ACA class of snoRNAs that guide the sites of modification of uridines to pseudouridines. Human ACA42 (SNORA42) was cloned from HeLa cells by immunoprecipitation with anti-GAR1 antibody. The record is from Rfam by way of RNAcentral. Lineage: Eukaryota; Metazoa; Chordata; Mammalia; Rodentia; Castoridae.
GCAAGUGUGAAGCCCUGGGAUAAAACUCCAGUCCCUCUGGGCCUCUCAUAGUGUCCCAUGCCAGAGCAAGCUGUGGCUCUGAACCACUGCCUGGCCCCCUCUACCUGUAGGCUGCUGGCACUGAAGUGGGUUACACAGUG